Molecule: long non-coding RNA, 661 nt
Organism: Phacochoerus africanus (Common warthog)
Lineage: Eukaryota; Metazoa; Chordata; Mammalia; Artiodactyla; Suidae
Exons: 3
Source: RefSeq, a predicted model, not a curated record
AGGCUGAGAGAAAGGCAGGGCUGUAGCAGAGGGAAACAGCCUGCCCUCCCGAGAGCCUGCAAGAAUGCGGCAGGGGGCCGGGGACAUGGGGAAAUACUAACUCCCCCAGGCCCUGACCCGGGCUUGAGGAAACGACCCGCGGCUGAAUUUCUCGCCAAGUGCAGCGGCAAAGCAGAACCGCCUGGAAAGCAAAGAGAAGGACGCUGGGGGUGCCCAUCCCCAGAGCAGGACCCUCGGCGGACGAGGGAAGAGAGGCGGGAGUCUGUGAGUGGUGAAGAGGAAAAACCUGUGUCCAGAAUUGGCUCAGGAGCGUCGGAGCGACUGAGGCGCUCGGCGCCAUAGUCUUCAAUGUCUCUCUGAACAGCAUUUAGGAAGAGUGCGAGAGAAAGAGAGCGCGCGCCAGGGAGAGGAGAAAAGAAGAUGAGGAUUAUUUGCAGACAGAUUGUCUUGUUAUUUUCUGGAUUUUGGGGACUCGCCAUGGGAGCCUUUCCGAGCAGCGUGCAAAUAGGUGGUCUCUUCAUCCGAAACACAGAUCAGGAAUACACUGCUUUUCGAUUAGCAAUUUUUCUUCAUAACACCAGCCCCAAUGCGUCAGAAGCUCCUUUUAAUUUGGUACCUCAUGUGGACAACAUAGAGACAGCCAACAGUUUUGCUGUGACAA